RNAcentral lists this transfer RNA (74 nucleotides) under Patescibacteria group bacterium. Its description in RNAcentral is "tRNA-Pro". It matches the Rfam family "tRNA". Rfam says of the family: Transfer RNA (tRNA) molecules are approximately 80 nucleotides in length. The record is from RNAcentral.
CGGGCUGUAGUGUAAUGGUAGCACGAGUCCUUCGGGAGGAUUUAGUCAGGGUUCAAAUCCCUGCAGCCCGACCA